GACGAACGCUGGCGGCGUGCCUAAUACAUGCAAGUCGAGCGAGUCUGAAUUCAAAGAUUCCUUCGGGAUGAUUUGUUGGACGCUAGCGGCGGAUGGGGUGAGUAACACGUGGGCAAUCUGCCCUAAAGACUGGGAUACCACUUGGAAACAGGUGCUAAUACCGGAUAACAACAUGAAUCGCAUGAUUCAAGUUUGAAAGGCGGCGUAAGCUGUCGCUUUAGGAUGAGCCCGCGGCGCAUUAGCUAGUUGGUGGGUAAAGCUACCAGGCAAUGAUGCGUAGCCGAGUUGAGAGACUGGAUCGGGCCACA
This 308-nucleotide ribosomal RNA is filed under the name uncultured bacterium. Its description in RNAcentral is "bacterial SSU rRNA". It matches the Rfam family "Bacterial small subunit ribosomal RNA", at positions 28 to 312 of the family's 1533-position model. The record is from RNAcentral.